RNAcentral lists this unclassified non-coding RNA (693 nucleotides) under Homo sapiens (human). Its description in RNAcentral is "major histocompatibility complex, class II, DQ alpha 1 (ENSG00000225890.10, ENSG00000236418.8)". The record is from RNAcentral. Lineage: Eukaryota; Metazoa; Chordata; Mammalia; Primates; Hominidae.
ACAAUUACUCUACAGCUCAGAACAGCAACUGCUGAGGCUGCCUUGGGAAGAAGAUGAUCCUAAACAAAGCUCUGAUGCUGGGGGCCCUCGCCCUGACCACCGUGAUGAGCCCUUGUGGAGGUGAAGACAUUGUGGCUGACCACGUUGCCUCUUACGGUGUAAACUUGUACCAGUCUUACGGUCCCUCUGGCCAGUUCACCCAUGAAUUUGAUGGAGACGAGGAGUUCUAUGUGGACCUGGAGAGGAAGGAGACUGUCUGGAAGUUGCCUCUGUUCCACAGACUUAGAUUUGACCCGCAAUUUGCACUGACAAACAUCGCUGUGCUAAAACAUAACUUGAACAUCCUGAUUAAACGCUCCAACUCUACCGCUGCUACCAAUGAGGUUCCUGAGGUCACAGUGUUUUCCAAGUCUCCCGUGACACUGGGUCAGCCCAACACCCUCAUCUGUCUUGUGGACAACAUCUUUCCUCCUGUGGUCAACAUCACCUGGCUGAGCAAUGGGCACUCAGUCACAGAAGGUGUUUCUGAGACCAGCUUCCUCUCCAAGAGUGAUCAUUCCUUCUUCAAGAUCAGUUACCUCACCUUCCUCCCUUCUGCUGAUGAGAUUUAUGACUGCAAGGUGGAGCACUGGGGCCUGGAUGAGCCUCUUCUGAAACACUGGGGUGCAUCACCAUCUACAGCAGCGGAAGAGU